UACAGAGGUCUCAAGCGUUGUUCGGAUUCAUUGGGCGUAAAGCGCACGUAGGCGGUCUUGUAAGUCGGGUGUGAAAGCCCGGGGCUUAACCCCGGAAGUGCACUCGAAACUGCAAGGCUUGAGUAUGGAAGAGGGUCUCGGAAUUCCCGGUGUAGAGGUGAAAUUCGUAGAUAUCGGGAGGAACACCAGUGGCGAAGGCGGAGACCUGGGCCAAUACUGACGCUGAGGUGCGAAAGCGUGGGGAGCAAACAGG
RNAcentral lists this ribosomal RNA (253 nucleotides) under uncultured bacterium. RNAcentral's name for it is "partial 16S ribosomal RNA". It matches the Rfam family "Bacterial small subunit ribosomal RNA", at positions 524 to 776 of the family's 1533-position model. The record is from RNAcentral.